RNAcentral lists this ribosomal RNA (1782 nucleotides) under Actinomycetota bacterium. RNAcentral's name for it is "Actinobacteria bacterium partial 23S ribosomal RNA". It matches the Rfam family "Bacterial large subunit ribosomal RNA", at positions 3 to 1693 of the family's 2925-position model. Lineage: Bacteria; Bacillati; Actinomycetota. The record is from RNAcentral.
CCAAGCUACAAAGAGCCAACGGUGAAUGCCUUGGCGCCUAUGACCGAAGAAGGACGUGGAUGACUGCGAAAAGUUACGGUGAGCCGUCUAUCAGGCUUCGACCCGUAAAUGUCCGAAUGAGGAAACUCAACACUCGUUAUUGAGUGUUAUUCCGGUGUGAAUACAUAGCACCGGUAAAGGGAACCGGGGGAAUUGAAACAUCUCAGUACCCCGAGGAAAGAAAAGCAAACGCGACUCCCCUAGUAGUGGCGAGCGAAAAGGGAACAGGCUAAACCGCAGCAACGUGACACCCUGAAGGGGUUGUUGAUGCGGUGUCGUGGGAUAUCGACGUACGGCUUCAGACGUACGACGGAGUUAACAACGUGCUGCGUAGUAGAACCAUCUGGAAAUAUGGACCACAGGGGGUAAUAGUCCCGUACACGAAACGCACGCACGCUCCGCGAUCGAUCCCAAGUAAUGGCGGGGCCGAGCAACCUGCCAUGAAUCCGUGGGGACCACCCCAUAAGCCUCAGUAUCAAUAGGCGACCGAUAGUGAACCAGUACCGCGAGGGAAAGGUGAAAAGAACCCCGGGAGGGGAGUGAAAUAGUACCUGAAACCGUUGGUUUACAAGCAGUCAGAGAGUCGUUGCACCGCUUGCGGUGCAGCCUCGAUGGCGUGCCUUUUGAAGAAUGAGCCUACGAGUUGCGGUAUGUGGCGAGGUUAACCCGAGAGGGGUAGCCGAAGCGAAAGCGAGUCUGAACAGGGCGUUCAGUCGCAUGCUGUAGACCCGAAGCCAAGUGAUCUUGCCAUGGUCAGGUUGAAGCGGGGGUAAGACCCCGUGGAGGACCGAACAGGUACCAGUUGAAAAUGGUUCUGAUGAACUGUGGUAAGGGGCGAAAGACCAAUCAAACUUGGCGAUAGCUGGUUCUCCUCGAAAUGCAUUUAGGUGCAGCGUUGCACGUUCAAUUCCGGAGGUAGAGCACUGGAUGGGCUAGAGGUCCAACAAGAUUAUCGACCCCAGCCAAACUCCGAAUUACGGAAUUCCAGAGUGCAGCAGUGAGACCAUGGGGGAUGAGCUUCAUUGGUCGAAAGGGAAACAGCCCAGAUCAUCAGCUAAGGCCCCAAAUUCAGGACUAAGUGUAAAACGAUGUGAAAUUGCUUAGACAGCCAGGAGGUUGGCUUAGAAGCAGCCACCCUUGAAAGAGUGCGUAACAGCUCACUGGUCGAGUGAUUUUGCGCGGACAAUGUAACGGGGCUCAAGUCCUGAGCCGAAGCUAUGGAUUGCAUCGACGUUCGCGUCGUUGCAGUGGUAGAGGAGCGUUGAUGGAGUGCCGAAGCGACGAGGUAACUCGGCGUGGAGUUCCAUCAAGUGAGAAUGUAGGUAUGAGUAGCGAGCCCAAGGUUUCCUGGGGAAGGCUAAUCCUCCCAGGGUAAGUCGGGAGCUAAGGAGAGGCCGCGAGGCGUAUCCGAUGCACAACUGGUUGAUAUUCCAGUACCGCCGUGUACACGACAAGCCCAAAUUCGAUAAAGCAGAGGCUGCCUUCGGGCGAAUCUGCGUAGUCGGACGCGGGUAACUAAAGCGGGACACAGCAGGAUAGGUGAUCCGGAUUAAUGGAUUUCCGGGUAAGCGAGAAGGUGGGUUGCGAUGAGAGUCGCGGCCGUAACACUGAGACGCAAUACCGACCUCGUUUGAGGGAAGUCACUGAUUCCACACUGUCGAGAAAAGCGCAGUAGUGAGUUGACACGGCGCCCGUACCCCAAACCGACUCAGGUGGGCGCGUAGAGAAUACGAAGGCGAUCGG